CCACCGUCGCCACUUGCUCCGGAUUGCUCGGGCAUCACAUUCGUUUCCUCCGGCAUCGACCUUGUCUGCGAUCGACGUCGAGGUGCCAUUGCUUCCUGAAAAGAAGCAACUCGCAUUAGUCACUGGACAAACACUACUUAACCAUACCCAAUUAGGCGAAAGCAACAUGCACAUUCAUCCUUGCCUCAAGCGUCAUGUCGUCGGCCGCCCGACACAACACUAGAAGUAGAGGAUAAACGAAAAUUAAACUUAGCCUCUAAUCACAUUAGAGACGUCCCUACUUAACCCAAUCACAUGCUUUCGCUAACUUUGAUCCCACGUCACUCACGUUUCCUAGAUCCUUAAGGCCUUCCAAUCCUAAGGGUCUCUAGGUCCAUUCCUAUUCUUUCACUCUUGGCUCUGAUACCACGCUAUCUGUCACGCCCCGGGACCGAUACCAAUUUGGCCCGACCCGAGCACGUCAAACAGACGCCGAACGGACAGAGUUUCCCCUAUCCGCCCAAGGC
Molecule: long non-coding RNA, 506 nt
Filed under: Ananas comosus (pineapple)
Lineage: Eukaryota; Viridiplantae; Streptophyta; Magnoliopsida; Poales; Bromeliaceae
Description: long non-coding RNA (ACOM_LNC014726)
Source: RNAcentral